RNAcentral lists this unclassified non-coding RNA (380 nucleotides) under uncultured bacterium. Its description in RNAcentral is "contains 16S-23S intergenic spacer region". The record is from RNAcentral.
UCCCGGUUGCCCGGGCAGUUCCGCAAGAGUGCCCAACUUAAUGCUGGCAACAUGCGGUGAGGGUUGCGCUCGUUGCGGGACUUAACCCAACAUCUCACGACACGAGCUGACGACAGCCAUGCAACACCUGUCUCCAGGCUCCCCUCGCGGGGCACCCCCGCCUUUCAGCAGGGUUCCUGGGAUGUCAAGCCUGGGUAAGGUUCUACGGUUAGUGACGUAUUAAUCCACAUGCUCCACCGCUUGUGCGGGCCCCCGUCAAUUCCUUUGAGUUUCAACCUUGCGGUCGUACUCCCCAGGCGGGGUACUUCCUGCGUUAGCGCCGGCACCCAGAGGGUCGCUCCCCCAGGCACCUAGUACCCAUCGUUUACGGCGUGGACUAC